AUGGGAAUCAAAGACUUCAUAAAUCCAACCGAUGAAGAGAAGCCGAUAUAUGAGAGAAUCAGAGAAAUGACCGGAGGAGGUGCUGACUAUAGUUUUGAAUGUACAAGAAAUUUGAAUGUUCUAAGAGAUGCCUUCUUGUGUGUUCAUGAAGGUUGGGGAUUGACUGUACUAUUGGGAAUUCAUUCAUCCCCAAAGUUGCUUCCCAUCCAUCCAAUGAAGCUCUUUGUCGGUUGCAGAAAUGAAUGA
Molecule: non-coding RNA, 246 nt
Organism: Vicia faba (fava bean)
Lineage: Eukaryota; Viridiplantae; Streptophyta; Magnoliopsida; Fabales; Fabaceae
Source: the annotation of a GenBank genome assembly